RNAcentral lists this ribosomal RNA (365 nucleotides) under uncultured eukaryote. RNAcentral's name for it is "partial 18S ribosomal RNA". It matches the Rfam family "Eukaryotic small subunit ribosomal RNA", at positions 592 to 975 of the family's 1831-position model. The record is from RNAcentral.
CAAUAGCGUAUAUUAACGUUGUUGCAGUUAAAAAGCUCGUAGUUGGAUUUCUGGAGGGAGCGUCGGCCCGUAUUUACGAGUGCGUGACGUCUCUGUCCAUCCUUGCGGGAAGGCACGGCAUUGAUUUGUUGUGUCGGAUCGCAUCAUUUACUGUGAAAAAAUUAGAGUGUCCAAAGCAGGCUUUCGCUUGAAUACAUUAGCAUGGAAUAAUAAGAUAGGACUUUGGUGCUAUUUUGUUGGUUGAGCCUAAAGUAAUGAUUAAUAGGGAUAGUUGGGGGCACCUGUAUUGCGUUGUCAGAGGUGAAAUUCUUGGAUUUACGCAAGACAAACAGCUGCGAANGNGUCUGCNAAGGAUGUUUNCAUUA